RNAcentral lists this ribosomal RNA (175 nucleotides) under Trachycephalus jordani (Jordan's casque-headed treefrog). RNAcentral's name for it is "partial 16S ribosomal RNA". The record is from RNAcentral. Lineage: Eukaryota; Metazoa; Chordata; Amphibia; Anura; Hylidae.
ACGUGAUCUGAGUUCAGACCGGAGUAAUCCAGGUCAGUUUCUAUCUAUAGCGGGGCUCUUUCUAGUACGAAAGGACCGAAAAAGCAUGGCCAAUACUUCACGCAUGCCAUAACUAGUAGUUUAUGACCUAAUCUUAAUAAAUAACUAGCCCAACUAUCAACUCUAAAGAAGAGUG